CUUUAUAAUCUACUUAGAGAAUUCAUUUAAAAUAACAAAUAUAUUAUCAUUUGAUAAUAUAUUUGCUGGUUUAGCAUUUGAAUGAAAUUAACAAGUUAAAAAGGAAGCUUUCACUAUCUUUAUCACUCUAAUUUUAGAAGAGGUUUGUAAUUAAAAUACAACAAAAAAAUUAGCCAGGCGUGGUGGUGGGCAUCUGUAGCCCCAGCUGCUUGGAAGGCUAAGACAGGAGAAUCACUUGAACCCAGGAGGUGGAGGUUGCAGUUAGCCGAGAUUGUGCCACUGCACGCUAGCCUGGGCCACAGAGUGAGACUUCAUGUCCCCCCGCCCCGACCCCCCGCAAAAAAAAAAAAUGUAUUUUCAACAUUGAAAAUUUCACAAAGGAGUAGAUUUUAGAUCAGGUCUGAUGUAUUUUGAGGUCCAAUGCUGGUUGAUGUUCUCGUAUAUUAUUAUCAUUAAUAUUUUUAAUACCAACAGUGGUUAUAACAGCCAGAUCCUGAGAAUUUUUCAAAUUUGAGAUCUCACAUAGAGAGUAUAAGACUUAAUAACUGCCAUCAAGUAAUAUUUAGGUCACACAAAACAUUGCAAUUUCUGCUAUGCUUAUUG
Molecule: long non-coding RNA, 603 nt
Filed under: Homo sapiens (human)
Lineage: Eukaryota; Metazoa; Chordata; Mammalia; Primates; Hominidae
Description: non-protein coding lnc-ZC3H12D-19:2
Source: RNAcentral